AUUGAACGCUGGCGGCAGGCCUAACACAUGCAAGUCGAACGGUAACAGGAAGAAGCUUGCUUCUUUGCUGACGAGUGGCGGACGGGUGAGUAAUGUCUGGGAAACUGCCUGAUGGAGGGGGAUAACUACUGGAAGCGGUAGCUAAUACCGCAUAACGUCGCAAGACCAAAAAGGGGGACCUUCGGGCCUCUUGCCAUCGGAUGUGCCCAGAUGGGAUUAGCUAGUAGGUGGGGUAACGGCUCACCUAGGCGACGAUCCCUAGCUGGUCUGAGAGGAUGACCAGCCACAUUGGAACUGAGACACGGUCCAGACUCCUACGGGAGGCAGCAGUGGGGAAUAUUGCACAAUGGGCGCAAGCCUGAUGCAGCCAUGCCGCGUGUAUGAAGAAGGCCUUCGGGUUGUAAAGUACUUUCAGCGGGGAGGAAGGGAGUAAAGUUAAUACCUUUGCUCAUUGACGUUACCCGCAGAAGAAGCACCGGCUAACUCCGUG
RNAcentral lists this ribosomal RNA (490 nucleotides) under uncultured bacterium. Its description in RNAcentral is "partial 16S ribosomal RNA". It matches the Rfam family "Bacterial small subunit ribosomal RNA", at positions 30 to 507 of the family's 1533-position model. The record is from RNAcentral.